This is a small nucleolar RNA of Sorex araneus (European shrew), 78 nucleotides long. RefSeq annotates it as small nucleolar RNA SNORD74. NCBI's taxonomy places the organism in Eukaryota, Metazoa, Chordata, Mammalia, Eulipotyphla, Soricidae. The transcript has a single exon. The record is from RefSeq and is a predicted model, not a curated record.
CGGCCGCGGUGAUGAAGCCCAUGUUGGUAGGGACAUCCGAGACGCGCUGAUGAACGCCAACGGCUCUGAGGGCGGCCG